GUGCCACUUCACUCCAGCCUGGGUGACAGGGUGAGACUCUUCCUCAAAAAAAAUAGUUGAAUAGAUGAUUUAUGAUAUAGUCAUAUAAUAAAUAAAUACUAUACAACAAUGAGAAUAAUUGACCUACAGCUAAACACAAAAAUAUUGACCAAUCUUGCAUUUACUCAAUCUUAUAUUUACGCAAUCUACUAUUGAGUAAAGGGCACUGGAUACUAAAAAAUACAUAUUUUAUGAUUUCAUUUAUAUAAAGUACCAAAACAGGAUAGUAAUCUUCAUGAGCUUAGGAGGUGGUGGUAGUCUCUGCUUGGGAGCAUGACAAGGGCUUCAUGGCAACUGUUAUAUUCUGAAUUUUCUUUCAGUGCUGGCAUUCUGGAUAUGUUUCAUUUGUGCAAAUACAUAGAGCUAUAUAUUUAUGAUGCCCACUUUUCUACAUGUGUAUUUAUGCUCCAAAGUAGUUUACUUAAGUCAUCUAACAAUAUCUAGAAAUAAGUCUAACAAAAUAUGCAAGGACUAUACACCAUGAACUAUGCAGUAUUUCUGAGAGAAUUAAAAGGGCUAAUAAAUGGUAGGACAUGUCAUGAUUAGGGAUUGGAAGACUGAUUAUUUUAUGAAUCUCAUUUCUCCACAAAUUUAUCUAUAGAUUGAAUGUAAUUGCAAGACUCAUACAUAGAACGAGUUGAUUUAUAGAAACUAUAGUGAAAGGAUAAUCUUUUCAAUAAACGGUGUUAGUAUCAUGGGAUUCUUGGGUUAUCACUUCACCAGCUGGAAACCUCUGUGGCCAGUGGAUCCUUUGCCUGAGUUUUUCUUGGGCUCACUGGGCUUGUUUCACCCCUUCAGUCUGGCAGGCUGCGCUUGGCUUACGCUACCCUCCUGGAUCCCGUGCCUGCCAAGAGUGAGCUGAGUGGGGAGGGGUGUGUGAAUGAGUGAGCAUGGGGCCCAGCCACUGCUCAUAGCCAGGCAUGCUGGCUGUGGCAGGGUGGGCAGCUCCAGGCACUGGCAUGGGCGCUGGCUCCCUGCGAGGCUGAAACUGGACCAGGCGAACCAUAAGCAGCUUCCAUGGCUGGCACCAGGGAAUGCGGUGGUGCCCAGAAGCUUGGAAUCACCAGAAAGUGUGAAGCCCCAAAGAGGUUAUCACAGCCCUGGUUUGGGGAACUUCUAGGUCUGGGAUCCCCAAAGGGCCACAGCUCUUCUCUCCUUCUCUCUUCUCUCCUUCUCUCUUCUCUCCUUCUCUCUUCUCUCCUUCUCUCUUCUCUCCUUCUCUCCUUCUCUCUUCUCUCCUUCUUGUUGCCCACAACAUGGUGAGCAAGGGGGGUGUUUCAGCCUUGUUUGUGUUACAGCUCUUUCAGCUCUGCCAUUUGGCAAGUCCCUAGUUUUUGUCCUGUGUCCAGGAAGAAUGAGGUACCUAGACAAGUGGAGGGUGAGCAAGAUAAAGACGAGCUUUUUUGAGCAGUAGAACAGCUCAGAGGAAACCCACAGUGGGUAGCUUCUCUCCUCAACUGGGAUGUCCUGAUGAGUGUUCAGCUCUCAGCAGAGAGGAGACCCUGGAGUAGGUAGCUCCUAUCUGCAGCUGGUAGUCCCAAUGUCUGCUCAGCUCUCAGCAGAGAGGAGAACCCAGAGGGGGUAGCUCCUCUCCACAGGCAGGUCAUUCUGUCAUCUCCUCAAGUCUGGCUGAGCCCAGGGUUUUUAUGGGCUUCAGCGGGGAGGAAGUGUGUGCUGAUUGGUCCAUGGGUGGCCAUGGGUGGGCCUGGAAAAGGCAACAUAAGUUCCCACUCUAGUCUGCAGGACUGGCAGCCCAGCUCCCAGGCUUCAGGCCUUCCCUGGCUUGAAGGUGGGGCUUCACCAAGGGCCUACCUGUUUCCACCCUGGAGCCUGUCUGCCUCCUGCUGCUGCUUAUGUAACCCAGGCUUUUACUGCUGAGGGGUGCCUAUAAGCCAGCAUUGAGCUGCCCUCAGCCCGGCCUCAGCCUCCCUCUGGUGCUCGGUGGUGCACAAAGUCUAGACGGGGACAAGGCAGCAGGGGCUAGUGUGUCAGGGCUGCCCUAAGUGUGUGCACACCUGGCCAGGUUGCAAUAGUACCUAGUCUUGGCCUCAAUUUUGCUCCAGAUCAGAGCAGGCACAGGAACAGAGAGAGGCCAGGAAACAGGAGCAGGCAUUUCCAAGCCUGCUGGGACAAGAGGGACUUCCUGGGCCCCUGGGAGUGCAGAGAUGCCUGGGUGUGCAGCUGCAGCUUGGGUGGCUGCAGCUGCGGCUUGGGUGGCUGCAGCUGCAGCUUGGGUGGCUGCAGCUAUGCCUGGAGCUCAUGCCUGCUCCCACUCCUCAAGAGCACAGGGAUGUCCAGGCUUGGAGCCAUGGCUGGGCAGCUGCAGCUGCGCCCAGGGAGCAUGAGGCUCCUGCCCUGCCAACUCAGGAGCGGGCUGGCCUUCCACCUGUUUCUGGCUCCCUCCGGCUCCAUGGAGCAUGCAACCCUGGCCACACCUCCCCAGUGAAGCCAGUGUCAUGGCAGCAGCCACUCUAGAUGGGCCAUGGCUGCCAUCAUUAGGGCUUUACUAUACACAUGUUAAAAAGUAAUUAAACGUGGUUUCUACCCUCCUGACAUUAAAAACUGAUCAAUUCCAGAUGGAUUAUAGAUAUAGUUGUGGAAGACAAAACAAUCAAACUUUUAGAAAAAAGUCAAAGACAUUAUUUUCAGGUUUUCCAAGUUGGGAAAUGUGAUACAAAACUAUUCAGUUUAAAUAAAAAAUCAAUACCUUUAACUAUUAAAAUUGAGGACUGCUAUUUAUCCAAAGAUACAAUGAAGAGACUGAAAGGCAAAGAUUAAAAAAAGACUAAAGAUUUAAAAAAUUAAAUAUGUAUACACACAUGAAUGGAAUAUGUGAAAAAGUCUCCAAGUAAAGAAAAAAGGACAAUUCACUAGAAAUAGAAGAAAAGUCUUAAACAGUCUCAUCCCAAAGAAGAUAUCCUAAUGAACAGUGGACAUGAACAGGGGCUCAACUUCGUUAAUUAUCUCUCAUUCUCAAGGAAAAGCAAAUUAGACUGUGAAUAAAAUCUCCAUGUACCCACUAGGAUGACUACAAUUCAAAAGGCUGACCUAUCCAGGUGAAGAUGAGAGUGUGCAGCAUUGGAAAUUCUUACACAUUGCUGGAGAUUUAGAAGCUAAAGAAAGAGGACAAAUGAUUUGGAAGCAAAGAUAAGAAGGAAGAAGGAGAUGGGGUCUCGCCAUGUUUCCCAGGCUGGUCUCAA
Molecule: long non-coding RNA, 3239 nt
Filed under: Homo sapiens (human)
Lineage: Eukaryota; Metazoa; Chordata; Mammalia; Primates; Hominidae
Description: HSALNT0293668
Source: RNAcentral